ACACUUACCUGGCAGGGGAGAUACCAUGAUCCCAAAGGUGGUUUAUCCAGGGCGAGGCUUAUCCAUUGCACUCCAGUUGUGCUGACCCCUGCAAUUUCCCCAAAUUCGGGAAAUUCGACUGCAUAAUUUGUGGUAGUGGGUGCACUGUGUUUGCGCUCUCCCCUG
Molecule: small nuclear RNA, 165 nt
Organism: Mus caroli (Ryukyu mouse)
Lineage: Eukaryota; Metazoa; Chordata; Mammalia; Rodentia; Muridae
Product: U1 spliceosomal RNA
Source: RefSeq, a predicted model, not a curated record